Molecule: ribosomal RNA, 405 nt
Filed under: uncultured bacterium
Lineage: Bacteria
Description: bacterial SSU rRNA
Rfam family: Bacterial small subunit ribosomal RNA
Source: RNAcentral
ACGGGUGAGUAACAUUUAGGAAUCUGCCUAGUAGUGGGGGAUAGCUCGGGGAAACUCGAAUUAAUACCGCAUACGACCUACGGGUGAAAGGGGGCGCAAGCUCUUGCUAUUAGAUGAGCCUAAAUCAGAUUAGCUAGUUGGUGGGGUAAAGGCCCACCAAGGCGACGAUCUGUAACUGGUCUGAGAGGAUGAUCAGUCACACCGGAACUGAGACACGGUCCGGACUCCUACGGGAGGCAGCAGUGGGGAAUAUUGGACAAUGGGGGCAACCCUGAUCCAGCCAUGCCGCGUGUGUGAAGAAGGCCUUUUGGUUGUAAAGCACUUUAAGCAGGGAGGAGAGGCUAAUGGUUAAUACCCAUUAGAUUAGACGUUACCUGCAGAAUAAGCACCGGCUAACUCUGUGCC